This 410-nucleotide ribosomal RNA is filed under the name uncultured bacterium. RNAcentral's name for it is "bacterial SSU rRNA". It matches the Rfam family "Bacterial small subunit ribosomal RNA", at positions 355 to 775 of the family's 1533-position model. The record is from RNAcentral.
UGGGGAAUCUUGCACAAUGGGCGAAAGCCUGAUGCAGCGACGCCGCGUGAGGGAUGAAGGCCUUCGGGUCGUAAACCUCUUUCGGCAGGGACGAAGCGAUCUCGUGACGGUACCUGCAGAAGAAGCCUCGGCUAACUACGUGCCAGCAGCCGCGGUAAGACGUAGGAGGCGAGCGUUGUCCGGAUUCAUUGGGCGUAAAGAGCGCGCAGGCGGCUUGGUAAGUCGGAUGUGAAAUCCCGAGGCUCAACCUCGGGUCUGCAUCCGAUACUGCCCGGCUAGAGGUAGGUAGGGGAGAUCGGAAUUCCUGGUGUAGCGGUGAAAUGCGCAGAUAUCAGGAGGAACACCGGUGGCGAAGGCGGAUCUCUGGGCCUUACCUGACGCUCAGGCGCGAAAGCUAGGGGAGCGAACUG